CCUACGGGAGGCAGCAGUGAGGAAUAUUGGUCAAUGGCCGGAAGGCUGAACCAGCCAUGCCGCGUGAAGGUCAGUGCCCUAUGGGCGUUAAACUUCUUUUGUGCGGGAGCAAUAAUGGUCACGUGUGGCCAGACGAGAGUACCGUACGAAUAAGCAUCGGCUAACUCCGUGCCAGCAGCCGCGGUAAUACGGGGGAUGCAAGUGUUAUCCGGAUUUAUUGGGUUUAAAGGGUGCGUAGGCUGUGAGGUAAGUCAGCGGUGAAAUGCCCCCGCUCAACGGGGUGAAGUGCCAUUGAUACUGCCUGGCUGGAAUGCGGAUGCCGUGGGAGGAAUGUGUGGUGUAGCGGUGAAAUGCAUAGAUAUCACACAGAACACCGAUUGCGAAGGCAUCUCACGAAUCCGCGAUUGACGCUGAUGCACGAAAGCGUGGGUAUCAAACAGGAUUAGAUACCCUUGUAGUC
RNAcentral lists this ribosomal RNA (460 nucleotides) under uncultured bacterium. Its description in RNAcentral is "partial 16S ribosomal RNA". It matches the Rfam family "Bacterial small subunit ribosomal RNA", at positions 338 to 795 of the family's 1533-position model. The record is from RNAcentral.